Long non-coding RNA from Gavialis gangeticus (Gharial), 102 nucleotides. RefSeq lists it as uncharacterized. Lineage: Eukaryota; Metazoa; Chordata; Crocodylia; Gavialidae. The transcript has 3 exons. The record is from RefSeq and is a predicted model, not a curated record.
ACAGGCAAUGUGUCAGCUUCAUAGUUGGUUGCCAUUACUAAACACAUGCUGCUUUUGGCAGCAGUUUAAUGAUUGACACUGUAUUUAAUGAGGUUUCCUUGU